CACAAGGACAUCAAAAUAUGUAUCCAUAUAAGGAAUAUAGAGGUUUUGGUAUCCCUUACUGUACUAUAGCAAUGCAGCAACUAUUAUCUUUUCUUUCGUACUCUGAAAAUAUGUUGAUACCAUGAAAACUAAUGAUACCGCAGUAUAACGUAGAGAAUUGUUUCAACAACAUUUAACGUAUGACAACCUGUCAUUUAUCAAUUGCACGCUAGUAUCGAGAUGCAAACCUCUGGUAUUGAUACUCGUACUAACUAAAAAUAUAUUGGCGUCGCAAAAUAUCGAUAUUAUCUCAAUCACCAUUCCUACGUCAGGUAAAAAACAAAACAAAACACUUUUACAAAUAAUAAUUUUCUCAGGGGGGCGGCCCAUCGAGUGGUUAGCACGUUGACUUUAAAGUGCAGAGGUUCAAUUCCAGCUCCGGCCUUCCUGUGUAGAGUUUGCAUGUUCUUCUCAUGCUUGCGUGGGUUUUCUUCGGGUACUCCAGUUUCCUCCCACAUUCCAAAAACAUGCGCGGCAGGCUGAUUGAACACUCUAAAUAGUCCCGAGGUGUGAGUGUGAGCGCGAAUGGUUGUUCAUUUCUAUGUGCCCUGCAAUUGGCUGGAAACCGGUUCAGGGUGUCCCUCGCCUACUGCCCAAAGACUGCUGGGAUAGGUGACCCCGUGACCUGAGUGAGGAUAAAGCAGUUCGGAAAAUGAAUGAAUUAAAUAAUUUUCUUAAAGCCAGUUUCACUUCGACAUCAUUAAAUUUGGUUUGCAUGUGA
Hippocampus zosterae (dwarf seahorse) is the source of this 760-nucleotide long non-coding RNA. RefSeq lists it as uncharacterized. Lineage: Eukaryota; Metazoa; Chordata; Actinopteri; Syngnathiformes; Syngnathidae. The transcript has 2 exons. The record is from RefSeq and is a predicted model, not a curated record.